AAUAGAUACCCCGGUAGUCCAUGCCGUAAACGUUGGGCGCUAGAUGUGGGGACCAUUCCACGGUUUCCGUGUCGCAGCUAACGCAUUAAGCGCCCCGCCUGGGGAGUACGGCCGCAAGGCUAAAACUCAAAGGAAUUGACGGGGGGCCCGCACAAGCGGCGGAGCAUGCGGAUUAAUUCGAUGCAACGCGAAGAACCUUACCAAGGCUUGACAUAUACGAGAACGCUCUAGAAAUAGAGAACUCUUUGGACACUCGUAUACAGGUGGUGCAUGGUUGUCGUCAGCUCGUGUCGUGAGAUGUUGGGUUAAGUCCCGCAACGAGCGCAACCCUCGUUCUAUGUUGCCAGCGGUUCGGCCGGGAACUCAUAGGAGACUGCCGGGGUCAACUCGGAGGAAGGUGGGGAUGACGUCAAAUCAUCAUGCCCCUUAUGUCUUGGGCUUCACGCAUGCUACAAUGGCCGGUACAAAGGGCUGCAAUACCGUAAGGUGGAGCGAAUCCCAAAAAGCCGGUCUCAGUUCGGAUUGAGGU
Molecule: ribosomal RNA, 529 nt
Filed under: uncultured bacterium
Lineage: Bacteria
Description: bacterial SSU rRNA
Rfam family: Bacterial small subunit ribosomal RNA
Source: RNAcentral